AGAACGAACGCUGGCGGCAGGCUUAACACAUGCAAGUCGAACGCUCGUAGCAAUACGGGAGUGGCAGACGGGUGAGUAACGCGUGGGAACAUACCCUCCGGUUCGGAAUAGCUCAGGGAAACUUGGAUUAAUACCGGAUACGGCCGAGAGGCGAAAGAUUUAUCGCCGGAGGAUUGGCCCGUGUUCGAUUAGCUAGUUGGUGAGGUAACGGCUCACCAAGGCGAUGAUCGAUAGCUGGUCUGAGAGGAUGAUCAGCCACAUUGGGACUGAGACACGGCCCAAACUCCUACGGGAGGCAGCAGUGGGGAAUAUUGGCAAAAUGGGCGCAAGCCUGAUCCAGCCAUGCCGCGUGAGUGAUGACGGCCUUAGGGUUGUAAAGCUCUUUCGCUCGGGACGAUAAUGACGGUACCGAGAUAAGAAGCCCGGCUAACUUCGUGCCAGCAGCCGC
Molecule: ribosomal RNA, 448 nt
Filed under: uncultured bacterium
Lineage: Bacteria
Description: SSU rRNA
Rfam family: Bacterial small subunit ribosomal RNA
Source: RNAcentral